UGGUUUGUCGCGUUGUUCGUGAAAUCUCACAACUCAAUUGUGAGCGUGCGGGCGAUACGGGCAGACUGGAGUACUGCAGGGGAGACUGGAAUUCCUGGUGUAGCGGUGGAAUGCGCAGAUAUCAGGAGGAACACCGGUGGCGAAGGCGGGUCUCUGGGCAGUAACUGACGCUGAGGAGCGAAAGCGUGGGGAGCGAACAGGAUUAGAUACCCUGGUAGUCCACGCCGUAAACGGUGGGUACUAGGUGUGGGUUUCCUUCCUUGGGAUCCGUGCCGUAGCUAACGCAUUAAGUACCCCGCCUGGGGAGUACGGCCGCAAGGCUAAAACUCAAAGAAAUUGACGGGGGCCCGCACAAGCGGCGGAGCAUGUGGAUUAAUUCGAUGCAACGCGAAGAACCUUACCUGGGUUUGACAUGCACAGGACGUGCCUAGAGAUAGGUAUUCCCUUGUGGCCUGUGUGCAGGUGGUGCAUGGCUGUCGUCAGCUCGUGUCGUGAGAUGUUGGGUUAAGUCCCGCAACGAGCGCAACCCUUGUCUCAUGUUGCCAGCGGGUAAUGCCGGGGACUCGUGAGAGACUGCCGGGGUCAACUCGGAGGAAGGUGGGGAUGACGUCAAGUCAUCAUGCCCCUUAUGUCCAGGGCUUCACACAUGCUACAAUGGCUGGUACAAAGGGCUGCGAAGCCGUGAGGUGGAGCGAAUCCUUUAAAGCCGGUCUCAGUUCGGAUCGGGGUCUGCAACUCGACCCCCGUGAAGUUGGAGUC
Molecule: ribosomal RNA, 759 nt
Filed under: uncultured bacterium
Lineage: Bacteria
Description: bacterial SSU rRNA
Rfam family: Bacterial small subunit ribosomal RNA
Source: RNAcentral